Molecule: ribosomal RNA, 687 nt
Filed under: uncultured Marinobacterium sp.
Lineage: Bacteria; Pseudomonadati; Pseudomonadota; Gammaproteobacteria; Oceanospirillales; Oceanospirillaceae
Description: bacterial SSU rRNA
Rfam family: Bacterial small subunit ribosomal RNA
Source: RNAcentral
UACUAGUUGUUGGGAGACUUGAUCUCUUAGUAACGAAGCUAACGCGAUAAGUAGACCGCCUGGGGAGUACGGCCGCAAGGUUAAAACUCAAAUGAAUUGACGGGGGCCCGCACAAGCGGUGGAGCAUGUGGUUUAAUUCGACGCAACGCGAAGAACCUUACCUACACUUGACAUCCAGAGAACUUUCUAGAGAUAGAUUGGUGCCUUCGGGAGCUCUGAGACAGGUGCUGCAUGGCUGUCGUCAGCUCGUGUUGUGAAAUGUUGGGUUAAGUCCCGUAACGAGCGCAACCCUUGUCCUUAUUUGCCAGCACUUCGGGUGGGAACUCUAAGGAGACUGCCGGUGACAAACCGGAGGAAGGUGGGGACGACGUCAAGUCAUCAUGGCCCUUACGUGUAGGGCUACACACGUGCUACAAUGGCCGGUACAGAGGGCCGCGACCCCGCGAGGGUGAGCAAAUCUCAGAAAGCCGGUCGUAGUCCGGAUCGCAGUCUGCAACUCGACUGCGUGAAGUCGGAAUCGCUAGUAAUCGCGAAUCAGAAUGUCGCGGUGAAUACGUUCCCGGGCCUUGUACACACCGCCCGUCACACCAUGGGAGUGGGUUGCACCAGAAGUAGCUAGACUAACCUUCGGGGGGUCGGUUACCACGGUGUGAUUCAUGACUGGGGUGAAGUCGUAACAAGGUAACC